RNAcentral lists this ribosomal RNA (432 nucleotides) under uncultured bacterium. RNAcentral describes it as "bacterial SSU rRNA". It matches the Rfam family "Bacterial small subunit ribosomal RNA", at positions 29 to 507 of the family's 1533-position model. The record is from RNAcentral.
AUGAACGCUGGCGGCAUGCCUAACACAUGCAAGUCGAACGAGAUCUUCGGAUCUAGUGGCGCACGGGUGAGUAACGCGUGGGAACCUACCUUUUAGUACGGGACAACGUUUGGAAACGAACGCUAAUACCGUAUACGCCCUCCGGGGGAAAGGUCAGCCGCUAAAAGAGGGGCCCGCGUCUGAUUAGCUUGUUGGUAAGGUAAUGGCUUACCAAGGCUACGAUCAGUAGCUGGUCUGAGAGGAUGAUCAGCCACACUGGGACUGAGACACGGCCCAGACUCCUACGGGAGGCAGCAGUGGGGAAUAUUGGACAAUGGAGGCAACUCUGAUCCAGCAAUGCCGCGUGUGUGAUGAAGGCCCUAGGGUUGUAAAGCACUUUCAACGGUGAAGAUGAUGACGGUAGCCGUAGAAGAAGCCCCGGCUAACUUCGUG